CAAGGGCACAAUUGUAUAAUUGUACCCAUUGCAAGGCACAAUCGCACACAUGUUCACACACCCAUUCACAAUACGGACAGUUUAGAGAUGCUAAUCAGCCUACAACGCAUGUAUUUGGACUGGGGGAGGAAAAUGGAGUACCCAGAGGAAACCCCCGAAGCACAUAGAGAACAUGCAAACUGCACGCAGACAAGGUGGAGGCAGGAAUCGAACUGAUUGAAAUGUUAAAAAAGUCACUCCAGACCUGUGAAAGCUGAGAUACACUCUAACCGAGAGCACAUGCGGUGAUUUUACAAUUUUCUUCACACAAUUCUGAUACACUAGACACAAACAUUUACAUCCGUUUUCUUUUUUGAACUUUCUUGUACUGUUUUUUUCAUAACUAUCAGUAAAUCCAAGAGUUUAGAUGUUCUGCUUUAACCUGUGAACCCAAUGCCUGAUGUGGUAUUUGAGCACAAUAGGAUAGAGUAUAUCAGUGGGAGUAGAUUGUAUGGAGUGGUUUCCGUUAUGCCGUGAAAUCUCAUAUAUCAUCUCCAUAAGUUUUCCAUCCCCUGUCCUGAAGACCUGCAUGUCCUUCUGUCCUGUUCCCACCCCUUCCUCUCCAUCAAAGAUCUGAGUCAGCACAGCCCGGCUUGGCAAUCGACCAAAUGGGCUGCUGUGAGCUAUAGCCUGUCUGAACUGAACGGCCAGGCAUUCAUUAGGCUAAAAGCCUAGAGACGCUGACAGCACACAGACACACCGACACACACACACACACACACACACACACACACAAACACUGACACACACACCCUGACUGAGAUAGAUCUUGCUUGGAUAGCAUCCACUAACUACAGAUGCCUGAAUAUUUACUGCUGCUUCUUUCUAUUCCAGAUGAGUGCACCCUGUUGCAGACAAGGAGAACUGAAGCGUUGGGGGAAAUGUCAAGAUGAGCCGUCUUGCAAGAAAUCGACAAAUUACACAACCUCCAAAACUACCCGAUAAGAUGAUGGACUAGUGCUCUAGUCACUUUAUUUAACAGGAUGGGUGUUUAUUCCCUGGAAUGACACAACGAUUGGUGUUUCCCCUGAGGGAUCCACAGUCAGACGCUAUGGAGUCACACUCUUGGAGCUUCAUUCCUCCUCCAAUCGCCGUCUGCUAAAGAGGGCUUCAUGAUGGGAUUAAGACUAAUCAGAUAAAGCUGUAGGGGGUUUCAGCAUCACCAGAGGCAAC
Ictalurus punctatus (channel catfish) is the source of this 1212-nucleotide long non-coding RNA. Lineage: Eukaryota; Metazoa; Chordata; Actinopteri; Siluriformes; Ictaluridae. The record is from Ensembl.